Molecule: ribosomal RNA, 460 nt
Filed under: uncultured bacterium
Lineage: Bacteria
Description: partial 16S ribosomal RNA
Rfam family: Bacterial small subunit ribosomal RNA
Source: RNAcentral
CCUACGGGAGGCAGCAGUGAGGAAUAUUGGUCAAUGGCCUUACGCCUGAACCAGCCAAGUCGCGUGAGGGACGACUGCGCUAUGCGUUGUAAACCUCUUUUGUCAGGGAGCAACGCCGGCUACGAGUAGCCGACCUGGGGGUACCUGAAAAAAAAGCAUCGGCUAAAUCAGUCCCAGCAGCGGCGGAAAAACGGAGGAUGGGAGCGUUAUCCGGAUUUAUUGGGGUUAAAGGGUGCGUAGGCGGAAUGUAAAGUCAGCGUUAAAAGCGCGGGGCUCAACCUCGCCCGGCCGUUGAAACUGGCGUGCUUGAGUGGGCGCGAAGUAUGCGGAAUGCGUGGUGUAGCGGUGAAAUGCAUAGAUAUCACGCAGAACUCCGAUUGCGAAGGCAGCAUACCGGCGCCCAACUGACGCUGAAGCACGAAAGCGUGGGUAUCGAACAGGAUUAGAUACCCCUGUAGUC